UAGGGAAUAUUGGACAAUGGGGGCAACCCUGAUCCAGCCAUGCCGCGUGAGUGAAGAAGGCCCUCGGGUUGUAAAGCUCUUUUGUCCGGAAAGAAAAGCUUCGGGUUAAUACCCCGGGGUUCUGACGGUACCGGAAGAAUAAGCACCGGCUAACUUCGUGCCAGCAGCCGCGGUAAUACGAAGGGUGCAAGCGUUACUCGGAAUUACUGGGCGUAAAGCGUGCGUAGGUGGUUGUUUAAGUCUGAUGUGAAAGCCCUGGGCUCAACCUGGGAAUGGCAUUGGAUACUGGCAAGCUGGAGUACGGUAGAGGAAGGUGGAAUUCCCGGUGUAGCAGUGAAAUGCGUAGAGAUCGGGAGGAACACCAGUGGCGAAGGCGGCCUUCUGGACCAGUACUGACGCUCAUGCACGAAAGCGUGGGGAGCAAACA
RNAcentral lists this ribosomal RNA (427 nucleotides) under uncultured bacterium. RNAcentral describes it as "bacterial SSU rRNA". It matches the Rfam family "Bacterial small subunit ribosomal RNA", at positions 355 to 774 of the family's 1533-position model. The record is from RNAcentral.